UACGAAGGGGGCUAGCGUUGCUCGGAAUUACUGGGCGUAAAGCGCACGUAGGCGGAUCUUUAAGUCAGGGGUGAAAUCCUGGAGCUCAACUCCAGAACUGCCUUUGAUACUGAGGACCUUGAGUUCGGGAGAGGUGAGUGGAACUGCGAGUGUAGAGGUGAAAUUCGUAGAUAUUCGCAAGAACACCAGUGGCGAAGGCGGCUCACUGGCCCGAUACUGACGCUGAGGUGCGAAAGCGAGGGGAGCAAACAGGG
Molecule: ribosomal RNA, 254 nt
Filed under: uncultured bacterium
Lineage: Bacteria
Description: partial 16S ribosomal RNA
Rfam family: Bacterial small subunit ribosomal RNA
Source: RNAcentral